This is a long non-coding RNA of Triticum aestivum (bread wheat), 1609 nucleotides long. RefSeq lists it as uncharacterized. The record is from RefSeq and is a predicted model, not a curated record. Lineage: Eukaryota; Viridiplantae; Streptophyta; Magnoliopsida; Poales; Poaceae. The transcript has 5 exons.
CUCCUUGAUAUUUUUGCUAGGUUGUGGCUAUGGGAUGGCGCUGCCGCCGCCGCCAUCACGGGACCACAGUUCCAUGCCUCCGCCGUCCAACGUCUUGCCCCUUCCCGUUCUAGGGCUUCCACAAGUCAACAUCGCACCUCCUCCCCACCAGAGAACAUGUAGCAGUAGGAGCAGAGAGGAAUCGGGGGCAGGGUUCGCCGGAAGCACCUCCCUGGGACAAUCCCCAUGGCGACCAAGCGCAUAACCAGCACGCGGCAGUCGCUCAUGGCCAGCCAACAAAGGCCCGACAGGGAAGUAGAAGGACGCCGGCGCCAGCGCUGGCCUCCCCUGUGUGAGAGGAAACAGACGGGUGCUCGGGGACAUCGGCGACGUUCUCCACGUGAACGUCCUCGACGGCAAGAUCCAACUGCCGACGGGGAUCAAUCACCCAAUCACCAGGAGCUUCGGCGCCAACCUCUUGAAGAAGGCUCAGGCCGAUCCAUCUAAGGUAUGAACAACACCCCCUUUUCCGCUCAUACAGGCUUUCGAAAGCAAUUUCCUAUAGAUGACAUCAACAUUUUGAUCCUGCACUUGCAGAUGACAUCAACAUUUUGAUCCUACACUUGCAGGAGUUCUUGGGUUCUUCUUAAUUUACCAUUGCUGGAGGAACUAGACCAACACUCUAGGUAGUAUCGCUAAUAGAGUGGUGCGUUAAGUGGAUGAGCAGGAUAGGUAGAUAACUUACUUUGCAAGCAAAAUUCUAGGUGUGAAUGCACUGUUUUGUUGGGGUUUCAGCAUUCAACGUUUUCAUAUUACCAUACAUUAUGUACUUAGAUAUAUAUCUCAAUACCAUUCAUUCCUUGACUCUAAUGGCGGGGUUAGUGUGUUUCCUCUGCGACCAAUGCAAGGACUGUGCUGGCCAUACUUCUUAGAUAUCUCACUACUAAUGCAAUGCAUCUACUCGAGGCAAGGUUGGCACUGUUGCCUUGAGGAUAUCUGAUUGGAGAACACCAUCAUCCUCCCCUUGGUCUUUGAUGUCUUGGUAGAGUGGUGGAUCACGAGCAAGGUCCUCAUUUCAAAGAAGAAGAGACUUGGAGAUGGUGAAGAAGUUGGUUGGAAAGAGCAAAAAAGAAGCAGGCUGGACUUAAGGUCGACAACUUGAUGUGCAUGAGGAGUAGGCAUAGGCGAGCAUGGCUGCACAGAGCAGUGACAUUAGCCGGUGACCGGCCAGCACGGCCUCGACGAGGAUGCUCCACCCCAUGCUUGCCAUUGUUCUGCACCACCGAGAUGAAGAAGUUGUCUGGCUUACCAGCCGCCUGAGCACCCAGAUCUUCGCGCCCGACUAUUGAAGAAGCCUUGGGCUGAUUAAGCUAUCCCAAACAAGGUACAUACAUCCCCGUUGGCCAAGGUUCACAGAUUUUUAAAUUAAAUAUGUGCUAAAAAUUCACCAUUAUAUCUGUGGUUAUCAUCUGAAAUUAAAUAUGUAGCUGUGACCUACUCCCUCCGUCCCAAAAUAAGUGUCUCAACUUUAGUACAACUUUGUACUGAAGUUAGUAAAAAGUUGAGACACGUAUUUCGGGACUGAGAGAGUAGAUAAUAUUCAGAGACUAUUUCUCAUUAUUGUCCAAAA